This 373-nucleotide ribosomal RNA is filed under the name uncultured bacterium. Its description in RNAcentral is "bacterial SSU rRNA". It matches the Rfam family "Bacterial small subunit ribosomal RNA", at positions 521 to 896 of the family's 1533-position model. The record is from RNAcentral.
UAAUACGUAGGUGGCAAGCGUUGUCCGGAUUUAUUGGGUUUAAAGGGUGCGUAGGCGGUCUUAUAAGUCAGUGCUGAAAUAUCCCGGCUUAACCGGGAGGGUGGCAUUGAUACUGUAGGACUUGAGUAAAGUUGAGGUUGGCGGAAUUGACGGUGUAGCGGUGAAAUGCUUAGAUAUCGUCAAGAACACCGAUAGUGUAGACAGCUAACUAAGCUUUAACUGACGCUGAGGCACGAAAGUGUGGGGAUCAAACAGGAUUAGAUACCCUGGUAGUCCACACUGUAAACGUUGAUGACUCGCUGUUGGCGAUACACAGUCAGCGGCUUAGAGAAAUCGUUAAGUCAUCCACCUGGGGAGUACGCCGGCAACGGUG